RNAcentral lists this ribosomal RNA (274 nucleotides) under uncultured bacterium. RNAcentral describes it as "partial 16S ribosomal RNA". It matches the Rfam family "Bacterial small subunit ribosomal RNA", at positions 523 to 796 of the family's 1533-position model. The record is from RNAcentral.
AUACGGAGGGGGCUAGCGUUGUUCGGAAUUACUGGGCGUAAAGCGUACGUAGGCGGACUGAUCAGUUGGGGGUGAAAUCCCAGGGCUUAACCCUGGAACUGCCUUCAAUACUGUCAGUCUUGAGUUUGGGAGAGGUGAGUGGAAUUCCUAGUGUAGAGGUGAGAUUCAUAGAUAUUAGGAGGAACACCAGUGGCGAAGGCGGCUCACUGGCCCAUUACUGACGCUGAGGUACGAAAGCGUGGGGAGCAAACAGGAUUAGAAACCCCAGUAGUCC